UCCGAACCUAUCAGCGCUCUGGAAAAUGCCAACUACUAGACAGAUGCCGUGUCUGUGACUCCAGUCGAGCUGACAGUCUGUGAUUGGGCUCUUGGCAGUUGCAGUGGGAGUGGCAGACUCGCUGGCACCCGAGCGAGCUCUGGACGAAUGUGAUGUGAAUUUUUGCAGAAGGAAAUCAAGAGAAUCAGCUGCAAGACAGACACAGAUAUGCCUCGAACUUCAACAGAGCCAGCUCAUACGCCACAGAUACCUGACUCCAAUGUCCAGAGCCGAUUCCUCCUUAAACUGGACACAGUCAUCGAAAAUCAGACAGUUGUUGCACCUUCUGCACACGCUAGUUAACAGGAAUGCAGAGGACGAGGAAUUUGUGGAUGUUCUCCCUGCCCCACUCACAUUGACACAGGAAUUUGAAGACCUUUGCCAGAAAAUUUAAUCUGAUGACAAGUUUAAAAAACAAAUGAUAUCCUAUCUGACUUCUGUGGGUGGCAAAAUGUUGGGGACAGUGUUCGCCGAAUGAUGAGGAAGGUCGGCACCAAUGACCUUUGGUCUAAUUAUAGCCUCAAAGGGAAAAGGGGGAAGAAGCCACUACUUGAGCUACCACUUAUUAUGGUAUUGACUAGUAAGUAUGCAGUGAAGUAACAUUUUUUUUCUUUGACUAUAGAAAUUAACUUAGUUAUAGACAAUACACAAAACUUUGGCCUAGACCAAAUAGAAACUUUGACCCACCCACUAAUCAGAAAUUACAACCCAGUACUUGAUAGUGUUUUUUCAUGACUAGAAGAAAGAACCAUCUGAUAAAAAAAACCCGCCACUGGGUACAGGUAAUUUUUAUCAGACUACAGAUUUGGUCUAGGCAAGGGGUCGGCAACACUGGUCCUGGAGAGUCGCAGACCCUCCUGGUUUUUGUUUUACCCCCCCAAACCCCUUAAUAAAUUAAUCGAUUCAAUGAUUGGUCUUAAUUGGUCAGAAUUCCUAUGUUGUUCCAGCAGCAGGUAUUUAGCAAUUGAUGAUUAAGAGAUACCUGCAGGAUUGAGGCUCUCUAGGACCAGGGUUGCCGAACCCCUAGUCUAGGCCUUAUGGUAUGACAUGCAUAUGGAAAGGUGUGA
Molecule: long non-coding RNA, 1106 nt
Organism: Acipenser ruthenus (sterlet)
Lineage: Eukaryota; Metazoa; Chordata; Actinopteri; Acipenseriformes; Acipenseridae
Exons: 6
Source: RefSeq, a predicted model, not a curated record